GACGAACGCUGGCGGCGUGCUUAACACAUGCCAGUCGAACGGAAAGGCCCUGCUUUUGUGGGGUGCUCGAGUGGCGAACGGGUGAGUAACACGUGAGUAACCUGCCCUUGACUUUGGGAUAACUUCAGGAAACUGGGGCUAAUACCGGAUAGGAGCUCCUGCUGCAUGGUGGGGGUUGGAAAGUUUCGGCGGUUGGGGAUGGACUCGCGGCUUAUCAGCUUGUUGGUGGGGUAGUGGCUUACCAAGGCUUUGACGGGUAGCCGGCCUGAGAGGGUGACCGGCCACAUUGGGACUGAGAUACGGCCCAGACUCCUACGGGAGGCAGCAGUGGGGAAUAUUGCACAGUGGGCGGAAGCCUGAUGCAGCAACGCCGCGUGCGGGAUGACGGCCUUCGGGUUGUAAACCGCUUUCGCCUGUGACGAGGCGUGAGUGACGGUAAUGGGUAAAGAAGCACCGGCUAACUACGUG
Molecule: ribosomal RNA, 468 nt
Filed under: uncultured bacterium
Lineage: Bacteria
Description: partial 16S ribosomal RNA
Rfam family: Bacterial small subunit ribosomal RNA
Source: RNAcentral